UGGGGAUGCGUUCCAUUAGUUUGUUGGCGGGGUAACGGCCCACCAAGACAUCGAUGGAUAGGGGUUCUGAGAGGAAGUCCCCCCACAUUGGUACUGAGACACGGACCAAACUCUACGGGAGGCAGCAGUGAGGAAUAUUGGUCAAUGGCCGAGAGGCUGAACCAGCCAAGUCGCGUGAAGGAAGAAGGAUUACGGAUUGUAAACUUCUUUUAUAAGGGAAUAUGUCCCUUAUGAAUAAGCAUCGGCUAACUCCGUGCCAGCAGCCGCGGUAAUACGGAGGAUGCGACCGUUAUCCGGAUUUAUUGGGUUUAAAGGGAGCGCAGACGGGUCGUUAAGUCAGCUGUGAAAGUUUGGGGCUCAACCUUAAAAUUGCAGUUGAUACUGGCGUCCUUGAGUGCGGUUGAGGUGUGCGGAAUUCGUGGUGUAGCGGUGAAAUGCUUAGAUAUCACGAAGAACUCCGAUUGCGAAGGCAGCACACUAAUCCGUAACUGACGUUCAUGCUCGAAAGUGUGGGUAUCAAACAGGAUUAGAUACCCUGGUAGUCCACACGGUAAACGAUGGAUAGGGGCUGUUGGCCAGCGGCUCAGCGAAAGCAUUAAGUAUCCCACCUGGGGAGUACGCCGGCAA
RNAcentral lists this ribosomal RNA (627 nucleotides) under uncultured bacterium. Its description in RNAcentral is "bacterial SSU rRNA". It matches the Rfam family "Bacterial small subunit ribosomal RNA", at positions 226 to 891 of the family's 1533-position model. The record is from RNAcentral.